This 462-nucleotide ribosomal RNA is filed under the name uncultured bacterium. RNAcentral describes it as "partial 16S ribosomal RNA". It matches the Rfam family "Bacterial small subunit ribosomal RNA", at positions 28 to 507 of the family's 1533-position model. The record is from RNAcentral.
GAUAAACGCUGGCGGCGUGCUUAACACAUGCAAGUCGAACGAAGUUUUUCCUUCGGGAGAAACUUAGUGGCGGACGGGUGAGUAACGCGUGGGUAACCUGCCCUGUACAGGGGGACAACAGCUGGAAACGGCUGCUAAUACCGCAUAAGCACUUAGCACUGCAUGGUGCAUAGGGAAAAGGAGCAAUCCGGUACAGGAUGGACCCGCGUCUGAUUAGCCAGUUGGCAGGGUAACGGCCUACCAAAGCGACGAUCAGUAGCCGAUCUGAGAGGAUGUACGGCCACAUUGGGACUGAGACACGGCCCAGACUCCUACGGGAGGCAGCAGUGGGGAAUAUUGCACAAUGGAGGAAACUCUGAUGCAGCGACGCCGCGUGAGUGAAGAAGUACUUCGGUAUGUAAAGCUCUAUCAGCAGGGAAGAAAAUGACGGUACCUGACUAAGAAGCACCGGCUAAAUACGUG